Molecule: long non-coding RNA, 306 nt
Filed under: Oryza sativa (Asian cultivated rice)
Lineage: Eukaryota; Viridiplantae; Streptophyta; Magnoliopsida; Poales; Poaceae
Description: long non-coding RNA (OSAT_LNC001214)
Source: RNAcentral
GCGUCGGCCGCGGUCAUGGGAGCAGCUUCCCUUCGACGAGUCGAGUCGAGACGAACCCUAGAGAAGAAGCCGCCAAAGCGGAGGAGGCGUGGAAGCGAGAGGGAGAUGUGGAGAGAGAGAGAGGAGGAAGGCGAGGGAGAGAUGUGGGAAUGGUGGGGGAGGAGCGAGGAGGAAAUGAGGGGGGCGUGGAGGCGAACCGAGCCCACGGCGUGGCGUCCGGGUUUUUAAACGCGCGGAAUAAAAGCCCACAUAUGGCCAAUAAAAUAAUCCAUUCCCACCACUAGUACUACUCACCACCACCUGUAC